AACGAACGCUGGCGGCAUGCCUAACACAUGCAAGUCGAACGAGAUCUUCGGGUCUAGUGGCGCACGGGUGCGUAACGCGUGGGAAUCUGCCCUUUGGUUCGGAAUAACAGUUGGAAACGACUGUUAGUACCAGAUGAUGACGAAAGUCCAAAGAUUUAUCGCCAGAGGAUGAGCCCGCGUAGGAUUAGCUAGUUGGUGUGGUAAAGGCGCACCAAGGCGACGAUCCUUAGCUGGUCUGAGAGGAUGAUCAGCCACACUGGGACUGAGACACGGCCCAGACUCCUACGGGAGGCAGCAGUGGGGAAUAUUGGACAAUGGGCGAAAGCCUGAUCCAGCAAUGCCGCGUGAGUGAUGAAGGCCUUAGGGUUGUAAAGCUCUUUUACCCGGGAUGAUAAUGACAGUACCGGGAGAAUAAGCUCCGGCUAACUCCGUGCCAGCCGCCGCCGUAA
This 449-nucleotide ribosomal RNA is filed under the name uncultured bacterium. RNAcentral describes it as "partial 16S ribosomal RNA". It matches the Rfam family "Bacterial small subunit ribosomal RNA", at positions 29 to 523 of the family's 1533-position model. The record is from RNAcentral.